Molecule: ribosomal RNA, 1231 nt
Filed under: metagenome
Description: bacterial LSU rRNA
Rfam family: Bacterial large subunit ribosomal RNA
Source: RNAcentral
AAAGGAACUCGGCAAAAUGCCCCCGUAACUUCGGGAGAAGGGGGGCCCUUCGACGUGUAGGAGUUUACCUCCGAAGCGUUGGAAGGCCGCAGAGACCAGGCUCAAGCGACUGUUUACCAAAAACACAGGUCCGUGCGAAGUAGCAAUACGAUGUAUACGGACUGACGCCUGCCCGGUGCUGGAAGGUUAAGGGGACUGGUUAGCCGCAAGGCGAAGCUGAGAACUUAAGCCCCAGUAAACGGCGGUGGUAACUAUAACCAUCCUAAGGUAGCGAAAUUCCUUGUCGGGUAAGUUCCGACCUGCACGAAUGGCGUAACGACUUGAGCGCUGUCUCAUCCGUGAACUCGGCGAAAUUGCAUUACGAGUAAAGAUGCUCGUUACGCGCAGAAAGACGGAAAGACCCCGGGACCUUUACUAUAUCUUGAUAUUGGUGUUCGGAACGGUUUGUGUAGCAUAGGUGGGAGACUUUGAAGCGGGCACGCCAGUGUUUGUGGAGUCAUCGUUGAAAUACCACUCUGAUCGUUUUGAACUUCUAACCUCGGUCCGUAAUCCGGAUCAGGGACAGUGUCUGGUGGGUAGUUUGACUGGGGCGGUCGCCUCCUAAAAAGUAACGGAGGCGCUCAAAGGUUCCCUCAACCUGGUUGGCAAUCAGGUGUCGAGUGUAAGUGCACAAGGGAGCUUAACUGUGAGACAGACAUGUCGAGCAGGUGCGAAAGCAGGAACUAGUGAUCCGGCGGUGGCUUGUGGAAGCGCCGUCGCUCAACGGAUAAAAGGUACCCCGGGGAUAACAGGCUGAUCUUGCCCAAGAGUCCAUAUCGACGGCAAGGUUUGGCACCUCGAUGUCGGCUCGUCUCAUCCUGGGGCUGGAGUAGGUCCCAAGGGUUGGGCUGUUCGCCCAUUAAAGAGGCACGCGAGCUGGGUUCAGAACGUCGUGAGACAGUUCGGUCCCUAUCUUCUGUGCGCGCAGGAAACUUGAGAAGGGCUAACCCUAGUACGAGAGGACCGGGUUGGACGAACCUCUGGUGUGUCGGUUGUUCCGCCAGGAGCACCGCCGAUUAGCUACGUUCGGAAGGGAUAACCGCUGAAAGCAUCUAAGCGGGAAGCUCGCUUCGAGAUUAGGUUUCCCACUGGUUUACCAGGUAAGGCCCCCAGCUAGACGACUGGGUUGAUAGGCCGGAAGUGGAAGAGUCGCAAGACUUGGAGCUGACCGGUACUAAUAGGCCGAGGAUUU